CGUCUUACCAGACAGCAUUAAAUUGUUGACUAAAUUUUUUAAUACUGUUAGGUAAAGAUGGC
RNAcentral lists this microRNA precursor (62 nucleotides) under Brachionus plicatilis. Its description in RNAcentral is "Bpl-Mir-8_pre stem-loop". It matches the Rfam family "mir-8/mir-141/mir-200 microRNA precursor family", at positions 10 to 68 of the family's 72-position model. Rfam says of the family: The bounds of the precursors are predicted based on conservation and base pairing and are not generally known. RNAcentral also lists the same sequence under 1 other name. The record is from RNAcentral. Lineage: Eukaryota; Metazoa; Rotifera; Eurotatoria; Ploima; Brachionidae.